GGAAGAUGUGCAGCUGAAAAUAAUGUUAUAUUUUGUAUUAAUUUGCCUUUUUGUGCUUGUGUAAAUCCAGCUGGCACAAUGGGCCUCCUGAGCAUUUAACUAAUAGUGUGAUUAUCUCCAUUUCACUAAGGAAGAAGUUACCCCAGGGGAAGCAACGAAAGGUCCAAAAAUCUGGCUUCUAACAGCAGGGCCCGACUUCGAGAGAACAUCGCUUCCAACAUAUAUUCUGUGAACAUCAGCCAGGUUUGCUUUUUUACAGUGAGUUUCAGGAUCCUCUAUCUUCUUUAGCCAGUGGACUCUAUCUUAUGUCUCUAGAGAUGUGAAAACGCCACCAGAGACUGCUUGGUACUAUAUUGAGAGAAACCGCCUCUUCUGGAACAGCUGAUUUUUCAUCAAGGAUAAGCAUUUUUGUCGAACUACAACCCAUUUAAAAAGAGAUGGCAUGUAAUGUCAUAUGGAGUUAAAUGGGGUUUUUGAAUUGAUUCAGCUCAUAGCUCCUGAGGCCGUGCACAAAGGCCAGAUUUGAGGUAAAGCCUAGAUAUAAGCCCAGCUCUACCAUUUAUUCACUGAUAACUGUAGGUGAGUCCCAGAGUGUCUCUGAUCUGGUUCCCUCAUCAAUAAAGUGGGGGAUU
RNAcentral lists this long non-coding RNA (632 nucleotides) under Felis catus (domestic cat). RNAcentral describes it as "lncRNA (ENSFCAG00000049956.1)". Lineage: Eukaryota; Metazoa; Chordata; Mammalia; Carnivora; Felidae. The record is from RNAcentral.